RNAcentral lists this unclassified non-coding RNA (253 nucleotides) under Hevea brasiliensis (rubber tree). The record is from RNAcentral. Lineage: Eukaryota; Viridiplantae; Streptophyta; Magnoliopsida; Malpighiales; Euphorbiaceae.
ACAAAAUUUGCAUAUGGAACUCCCUUCAAACCAAAGCUAUUAUGGGAACUAUACACCUAUUUGGCCAGCGGAGGAAAAGAUGGUUGGCAUGAAGAGGCCAUAUCCAUUUGCCCUAGACAACCCUCCAGGGCCUUCUUUCCCCAGCAAGUUCCCUCCUAUUGUUCACCCCAUUGGCAGAUCAGAUGAAUCAUUUUCAUUUGGCAAUGCAGGCACAUUCAAUUUCACUCUUGCCAACCCUAAUUUCAGAGAAGGC